This 324-nucleotide ribosomal RNA is filed under the name uncultured Pseudomonas sp. RNAcentral's name for it is "bacterial SSU rRNA". It matches the Rfam family "Bacterial small subunit ribosomal RNA", at positions 1059 to 1382 of the family's 1533-position model. Lineage: Bacteria; Pseudomonadati; Pseudomonadota; Gammaproteobacteria; Pseudomonadales; Pseudomonadaceae. The record is from RNAcentral.
UUCGUGUCGUGAGAUGUUGGGUUAAGUCCCGUAACGAGCGCAACCCUUGUCCUUAGUUACCAGCACGUUAUGGUGGGCACUCUAAGGAGACUGCCGGUGACAAACCGGAGGAAGGUGGGGAUGACGUCAAGUCAUCAUGGCCCUUACGGCCUGGGCUACACACGUGCUACAAUGGUCGGUACAAAGGGUUGCCAAGCCGCGAGGUGGAGCUAAUCCCAUAAAACCGAUCGUAGUCCGGAUCGCAGUCUGCAACUCGACUGCGUGAAGUCGGAAUCGCUAGUAAUCGUGAAUCAGAAUGUCACGGUGAAUACGUUCCCGGGCCUU